CACAGGGGGACCUGGCUCUGCGAAUGGCCAACAGUAAUGGGCAUCUCCACCUGUAGGGGACAUCGCUCGGGUAAAAGGCCGUUCAGCUUCAGGCCUCGCUGCCCUGCACCUGCCCAGAGAGCUGACUGGACUUGGAUUCACGUUUGGUCCGACAACCCAGGGCUCCCUCCUACUAAGCAACGGGUUACCUCUAAGACGUAUUUUUGCUUUUUCACAGACUCUCCCCUCCACUCACGGCGCACGGUCAAAGCCCCAGCACGUCCUGUGCCAGCAGUCGGCCCCGCCUACCUCAGGGGUCAGCUCAGUAGUCUACGGGCACAUUUUCAGGUGUCCCGCCCCACAAGCCCCACCCCGACUGGCCAAGGGCAAGGGCGUCUCCGAGGAGGCUCACUGGCACGAGACGCGGGUCUGCACCACCCGCCCCAGACGUAAGAUCCGGGUCACUUUCGGGGGGCCGACGUGGGCUGCUCGCCGUGAACCCCACGUCGCACCUCUGGACAGGCUGCAAGCAAACCGAGUGUCAGCGAGGCCUCUCUGGGGGGUCUCCCGCUCCUCCUCCCUCUGCACCCCGGGGAUCAGCUCUGCUAGGGGUUCCUCACCCCUUGGGCACAGUCUCUGUUGGGGUUCCCAGCCCUCGCCGCCCGAUGCCGGACGGGAGCUGCCGAGGGAAGCUCUGCUGUGCCCACUGGAGAGGCCCACCCCUCUACCAGAGUUAGGGUCCCCGAGACGGAAGACCUGGGAUCCAGCCACGCAUCGGUGACCUAUUUAUCAGCAUUCCACCCGGGACUGUCUGGGAACCACCCCGAACCUCCACUCCCUCCUGAAAUAACUAGAACGGUCCUGCCCCUGCCCACUUCACAGGCUGUGAGGACGACGUGAGCAAACGCACGGCGGGGUGCCUGGAAAACACAGCCAGUGAGGAGAGGAGGGCAGAGGACGCGUCAGCUACCGUCCCGAGCCCUCACUUACGCCCGCUCGCCCACCCGCACGAGCACCACGCCAGCCAGGCAUCAGGAGCACCCCCGCUUUACAGACAGGGAGCUGAGACGCAGAGAGGACGUGUUCUCUCUGACAGUAACAACACGAGGAAGGAAACAAAUCGACACCGAGAGGCCUCACGCCGAGGAGGAAACAGGUACUUGUUAAAUGGCUGCCAGACCGGGCCAGCCAGGCGGUGGGCUAAGGCCGCGCCCCCAGGCGAGCCCGUCACCCGGAAGCUGGCUCCGUGCAUCCAAAGAAACGGCCACCAAAGUGAUUCGUGACAAAGCGACGCCCGACGCCUCUCACCAGCCAAGUCUGUUCUGAGCAAGGCCCCAAGCAGGGCUGCCCGCGGGCCCAGCAGCAGCCGCAGGAGAGCCAGACUGUCGGAGUCCCUGGUCCUAAGGUACAGCCGUAAACGUCUCAGAAGCAUGCUCGCUGGUCCCGAUUAUUUACUUUUCAAAGGAAGUUCUGAUUUCAUGUUCGGUUCCUGAUGUUCGUGAUGACGCUCUCUGUCGGGCUAAUCCGAUUUCCAUGCGGAGGGAGCAUCGGAGACCGGGAGAGACGUGUGGGAGCGAGCCGGGGGCCCCGCGGGAGGUGUCGAGGCCCCGGUGACCUCCCACCGGCCCCCUGCCUCCGCCUCUGCGCUCCACGUUUGCGGAGUCUGCCUUCCGGGCUCGCGCUCGUCCGCUCCGCCCUUGGUUUCGAGGGCGCUACUGGGGACGGUUUCGCCGGCCCUUGACGGGACGCCCUGGCUCCUUCCCGCGGCUGGGCCCGCGAGCGCACGCGUGGCAGGGAACCAAAAGCCCUCGGGGAAGGGCCCCGGCACAAGCUCCCCGUCUGUGAACCCCUGUUCGAGGCCAAAGGAACUCCUCAGGUUUCCGACACACAUCUUCCCAGCGUGAGCAGUUUCACACAGACUUGGGAACAUCCUUGCCUCUCUCUACUUUGUGCCUUAGCCAGUGACAACCCUUCCUUCCUUCCUGAAUGUGCUAAGGAGGCGGGAGAGAACCACGACAGCUGGCUUUCUUGUCAAAAUCCACAAAGUCGAGGCUUCUCGACGGGGUCCAAAUCCACUUCUGAAACAGGGGCUCGCCUGGUGUGAACAGACCUGCCCAGAACACGCCGUCCUCCCAUGCUCAGUGAGGCCCGGGGACAGGCUCGGCGGGCACGGGUGGGGAGGGGGCUCCUGGCACCUGACCGGUAGAUGCCAGGGAAGCUGCCGAGCACGGCCCCACUGUCCUCACACGUGUGGGGACACCUACGGCCACAAAGACGGACUAUCCGGCCCUGAGGUGAGCACUGCCAGUUUGGGAAACGCGGCUUUCAGGGAAAGAACGAAGGUCUGAUUCCAACGAGGGCCUCCAGAUUCUAAUCCAGUAAGACAGAAACAAGCACGGUGCAGAGAAAUGCACACAGUGUAUGGCCAGUCUUACCUAACGUGUGAGUACACACGUGUUCACAGACACGCCCGUCAUGAGAACGUUCGUGCGGCUGCUACAGACGGAAGGACGCAGGGUGAAGAGGCAGGAAGAGAAACCAGAUUUUUUUUUAAAUGUUUUAUUAUUCAUCUUCGAGAAAGAGACAGAGACACAGACAGAACCCCAAGCAGGCCCCAGGCUCCAGGCUCCAAGCUGUCAGCACAGAGCGGGGCUCGAACUCAUGAACGAGAUCAUGACCUGAGCUGAAGUUGGACACUUAACCGACUGAGCCCCCCAGGCACCCCUAAAAGCCAGACUUCUCGUUUUGUGUACGUGAUCUGGGAUCCACUAAAUAUUUUACGUAACUGUAAAGCAGAAUUAAACUUUUUAAAAAGCAUUUCUUAAACAUCUUAAGUAAAAGGACACCAACGAACACAACUGUGCACCUGGCUGGCUGUACUGCUGGACGGGGAGGAACGCAUCCACGUGACUUUAAAACAGGGUGACCUGGGGCACCUGGGUGGCUCGGUCGGUUGAAUAUCUGGCCCCUAAUUUGGGUUAGGGUCGUGAUCUCAGUAUCGUGGGAUGGAGCCCCACUUUGGGCUUCAUGCUCAGCGUGGAGCCUGCUUGGGUGUCUCUCUCUCUCUCUCUCUCUCUCUCUCUCUCUCUCUCUCUCUCUCAAAUUUAUAAAAUAAAGAAAAAACAAAAAGAAAAACAGGGUAACCUCACUCUCUAUCUGUGGCCUGGUGCCAGAGAGAACCGCAAAUGCCUGGUGAACAGUUUUUGGUAAAAGAACACUGGUGCUAUGUUGGUUGUUGCUUUCUGAACGUGCUGAUGUGAUGUGGCACGCAAGAAAUGAGUGAUUGUGUUGGUGCCCAUGAAAAAUCUCAAUGGUCGGUGUGGGAGAAGGCAGAUAUGUGGGAUUAAAUAAAAACCUUGCAGUCCCGAAACUUAAUCAGUAAGCACUCAUAAUACAUUCUACCUUCAUUUACUUAUUUAUUUUUUUGAGACAGGGAAAGUGCUCAUGCCUGUGUGAGCAGCCAAGGGGCAGAAGGAGAGAGAAUCCCAAGCAGGCUCCACACUGGCAGCACAGAGCCCAACGCGGGGCUCAGUCUCAAGACCCUGGGAUCGUGACCUGAGCCAAAAUCAAGAGUCGAACACUCACCUGACUGAGCCACCUGGGUGUCUGUCCCUUAUAACGCAUUCUACCAUUAAAACAGAGAGGCAGCGGGGAGAGAAAAGUCUGAGUGUGGGCAAUGGGCACCCCCGGGACCCAGAUUAAGCUCUCUAAAUCCCAUUCCCACUCAGCUGACUGAAGACCUGGGCAGAAAACGUACAAAAUGAGAACGGAGCAUCCUGCCUGGUCACACCAGCUAGGAAAGAAGUGAUCACAAGCUACCAGACCCAUAUCAGACAGACUCGGGAGCCAAAUCACAGAGCCCCCCGCCCCCCGCCCCCACCGGCCAAAGAGGAAACAAGGCCAAGGAGGAAACAACGUGCACGCCAACGUUUCACAAGUGUAACAGUUAUGCUUGUACUGCACGCUGACUGGGACAAACACACACCCUGCAGGUUACCUUAGGAGACGCCCAGUCAUUAUUCUGAAAUCUGCUAAACAAAGGAAAAUAAGUAUCGGUACUGGCUUUCCUACAUGAACUCUACCUUGAGAUACCCAAAUAAUCGGUAUGAACAUCAAUGUCUGCUAACCUCACUGAGAGAACACAACCAGUCAUCACACACAUCCUAGGGGAAGUACCCACCACCGCCUAUGAAACGCCAUGACCCCCGAGCACCCCUCCGAUUCGACCGAAUCUGUCGAAGCCUCCAGACUGACCUAUCACGUAGAGGACAGUCAAGGGCAGGUGAGUGUGGCUUACCUAGAGCCAGGCGGGGAGAAGCAACGCGCAAAGUCCAGACAGCAAGGACCUCUACAGGAGCACAUGGCCCGAUGUCUUCAACCAAUAAAUGGCAGGAAGAGACAGACACACAGAGCAGGAUGGGGGCAGGGUUCUGACUUGCAGAGAUUCUAUGGAUUAAGAGGGCACAUCAACCAACCACAAUGUAUUCACCUUACUUGAACCCUGAUUCGAAUAAAUUCCACG
Felis catus (domestic cat) is the source of this 4501-nucleotide long non-coding RNA. RefSeq lists it as uncharacterized. NCBI's taxonomy places the organism in Eukaryota, Metazoa, Chordata, Mammalia, Carnivora, Felidae. The transcript is spliced from 3 exons. The record is from RefSeq and is a predicted model, not a curated record.